Molecule: ribosomal RNA, 257 nt
Filed under: uncultured bacterium
Lineage: Bacteria
Description: partial 16S ribosomal RNA
Rfam family: Bacterial small subunit ribosomal RNA
Source: RNAcentral
CAAACUGAAGAUGGCGACCGGCGCACGGGUGAGUAACACGUAUCCAACCUGCCGAUAACCCCCGGAAUAGCCUUUCGAAAGAAAGAUUAAUACCGGAUGGCAUACGAAUAUCGCAUGAUAUUUUUAUUUAAAGAAUUUCGGUUAUCGAUAGGGAUGCGUUCCAUUAGUUUGUUGGCGGGGUAACGGCCCACCAAGACUACGAUGGAUAGGGGUUCUGAGAGGAAGGUCCCCCACAUUGGAACUGAGACACGGUCCAA